AACACUCUGACAUGAUUUACAAAUGAAGCAUUUGUGUUUGGUGAGUCUGACAGAUCAGAGGCAGUAGGGAUGCUCUCUUGAUAAGUUUGUGAAUUGGUCCAUUAUCCCAUCCUGCUAAGCAUUCAAAAUGUAAUGAGUACUUUUGGUGUCAGGGAAAAUGUAUGGAGUAAAAAGUACAAUAGUGAAGUAAAAGUUGUUAAAAAUAUAAAUAAUAAACUACAUAUACCCCCAAAAAACACUUAAGUAAAACAUCCUUUAAAAUCUACUUAAGUACUUUACAGCACUGGUUAAUUGAGAACUCUCCUGAAAACUCAGGAGCCCUUUGCUAGCUAGGGUGUUAGGGUGUUGGUUUCAGCUAGUCCUAAACCACAGGGGUUUAAACAAAAAACUAGAAAAACAAGGGCUAAGCGAAAAAGAUCAACUGGGGUUUAGGUGCGAUAAACAAAAAACUAGAAAAACAAGGGCUAAGCGAAAAAGAUAAACUGAAAUAGCAGUUGUGGUUAAUGCUGAAAGCUGGGCACACCCAAUCUAUGACGUAGUAGAUGAAGACACGUGAAGCUCUGCUCGGAAAGCAAAGAAUAAACAUUUUUUUUUUAAACGGGGCCUCAAAUCUGAUAUCAAGAUUACCGGCUUGUGAAGAAGGCCUAAAGAAAAUAAUGGGCCAAUCAUAUCGAUUGGAUGCCAUGACGAAUUUGACGCUAUUUUUUUUUCUUUUUUCUAUGCGACUUCCUUCAGCAAAGAUGGCUGACAAAAAUACUAGGACCGAAGCAAUUGUUAGUGACUCCUGAGAAAACCACCAAACCAGGCUGUCGUCUUGUGAAACAGUGGAUGUAAGGAAUAUAGCUAGCUAAAGUUUUACUGAAAAUGUCAUGUGCAUUUUGUACGCUUGCCUUGCUGGUAUUUGCCAUGAAAUGCAGCUGAAGUAAUGUAGCUAGCUAACCAUUGGCUUGCUUAUUGUGUAGUGGAGGAUAAAAAUACCUGUAUGCCUAUGGAUGUGUAGCUAGCUAUAAAAAAAAUAUAGCUAAGAAUAUAUUUAGCUACUGAUCAUGUGCUCUACCUUGGCAAAUAAAGGUGUGGUUCAGGUCAUUUUCAGUCAUAUCCAAUACCAAGAGUAUCAAACUCCAGUCUUUGAAUGAUGCUUUGUCUGCAUGUAUGUAUUACAAUUAUACACUUCAACAGUGUUUACCAAUCCUGGUCCAUCUAUGGUUACACAUUGUAACUAUGCAAUAGACUAGAAACGUGAUUUAACUAGUUAAAGACGGAUUUGUAAUUCACAUAUAUAUAGAAACAGAAUUUAAAAAGAAAGGUACCCUAUACUUUCUAUGUAUCAUGUAAAUACUUGAAUAAACAGUUCAUCUCAAUAUCUAAUUUCCUUCAUCUGCACUGAUCUGAGGACACGGGAUAGGUGUAGUAUUUCAUGAAAUCAGAGACUUUAUUUCAACCAGUAGAGAAUGUGAAAUGCUUUGAAAAAAGUUCAAGUGUUAUAAAUACAUAAUAUUACAAUUAUAAUAAAUGUAUUAUGAAUAAAAGUUCUGUACUUCAUUGCACAUCUGGUGUGCAUUAUAAAAACAGGAAGAAAGAGGAGGUGUGGGGAGAGGUGGGGAGAGAGGUGUGUGAGAGUGAAAGGGAAAGAGGUAAGAACAGAGGAGCAGGGAAGGCAGCAUAUGAUUAAUGAAUUACAAUGCUACUAAACUUAAUAUUCUCUCAGUUCAUCACAAUUACAUAAUAGUGUCUCUAGUGGUGUCUCCUAACCAGCCUUGGGCUCCCAGUCGACCUGAAGGUUAUCUUAAGAGCGGGUGAUGUGGCGAUGACGGGACUGGGGGUUGGCAUCCUCUCUCACAUCAAAACAAAGCUGCAGAUGAGACUGACGGAGAAGAGAGAUAGAUUUUUUUUUUUUUUAAAUACAAGGAUUAAUCAUGCUAACACAGUCAGUCAUCAUAAUCACCAGGAAGUGAAAUGCAAAUCUGACCAAGGAUCAUUAACUCGGGGACAGCUUUUUCUUUAACAAUAAUUCCUGUUGACCCGACCAUGUGACCUCUCACCUCUGAUCAUGCUGUGCCCUCUAUGGAGCCAGCUCAGAUGCAGGAGGGGUUCACCAACACAGCUGAUAUAACCUAGAGGAUUUAGGGAGAAGGGGGAGAGGGAUGAGGUGAAGGAGAGACUGUUAUUGAGAAAAUAUGGUAGUUGAAGAGACACUGUUCAACAGGAAUCUGUGUGUGGCCUCACCUGGUGUCCACACUAAGUGGCUGCAGAGUACGUUAUACCGAAAAACAUAUAGUGUAGUUAUAUAAAUAUAAAUAAUGACGUUUAUUACUAUUCUCCAUAGUUGGUCCUAUUGUCUUUGAAGGUGGCCACAGUUACGGUGCUUUCGGAAAUUGUUUAUACCCCUUCACCCUUUUCCACAGUUUGUUACAUUACAGCCUAAUUACAUUACAGCCUAAUUACAGCCUAAUUACAUUACAGCCUAAUUACAGCCUAAUUACAUUACAUCCUAAUUACAUUACAGCCUAAUUACAGCCUAAUUACAUUACAGCCUAAUUACAUUACAGCCUAAUUACAGCCUAAUUACAUUACAGCCUAAUUACAUUACAGCCUAAUUCUGAAAACAUUUAAUCAAUCUACACACAAUAUCCCAUAGUGACAAAGUGAACAGGUUUUCAGAAAUGUUUACACAUUUAUAAAAAAAUAUACAUAUAAACAUUUACACGAGUAUUCAGACUCUUUGAAGUUGAGACUGGUGUUUUGUGGGUACUAUUUAAUGAAGCUGUCAGUUGCGGACUUGUGAGGCGUCGUGUUUCUCAAACUAGACACUCUAAUGUACUUGUCCUCUUGAUCAGUUGUGCACCGGGGCCUCCCACUCUUUCUAUUCUGGUUAGAGCCAGUUUGCGCUGUUCUGUGAAGGGAGUAGUACACAACGUUGUACGAGAUCUUCAGUUUCUUGGCAAUUUCUCAAAAUGGAAUAGCCUUCAUUUCUCGGAACAAAAAUAGACUGACGAGUUUCAGAAGAAAUGUCUUUGUUUCUGGCCUGUAAUCGAACCCACAAAUGCUGAUGCUCCAGAUACUCAACUAGUCUAAAGAAGGCCAGUUUUAUUGCUUCUUUAAUCAGCACAACAGUUUUAAGCUGUGCUAACAUAAUUGCAAAAGGGUUUUCUAAUGAUCAAUUAGCCUUUUAAAAUGAUAAACUUGGAUUAGCUAAUACAAUGUGCCAAUCAUCACAGGAGUGAUGGUUGCUGAUAAUGGGCCUCUGUAAGCAUAUGUAGAUAUUCCAUUAAAAAUCAGCCGUUUCUAGGUACAAUAGUAACUUACAACAUAGACAAUGUCUACACUGUACUUCUGAUCAAUUUGAUGUUAUUUUAAUGGACAAAACAAAUAGCUUUUCUUUCAAAAACAAAGACAUUUCUAAAUGACCCCAAACUUUUGAACGGUAGUGUAUGUACAGUUGAAGUCGGAAGUUUACAUACACUUAGGUUGGAGUCAUUAAAACUUGUUUUUCAAUCACUCCACAAAUUUCUUGUUAACAAACUAUAGUUUUGGCAAGUCGGUUAGGACAUCUACUUUGUGCAUGACACAAGUCAUUUUCCCAACAAUUGUUUACAGACAGAUUACUUCACUUAUAAUUCACUGUAUCACAAUUCCAGUGGGCCAGAAGUUUACAUACACUAAGUUGACUAUAUCCACAGUAAAACGAGUCCUAUAUCGACAUAACCUGAAAGGCCCCUCAACAAGGAAGAAGCCACUGCUCCAAAACUGCCAUAAAAAAGCCAGACUACAGUUUGCAACUGCACAUGGGUACAAAGAUCAUACUUUUUUAGAGAAAUGUCCUCUGGUCUGAUGAAACAAAAAUAGAACUGUUUGUUUUCCCGAGCUGACAAGGUAAAAAUCUGUCAUUCUGCCCCUGAACAAGGCAGUUAACCCACUGUUCCUAGGCCGUCAUUGAAAAUAAGAAUUUGUUCUUAACUGACUUGCCUAGUUAAAUAAUGGUAUUUAAAAAUGUAUAUAUAUUUUUACUUGAAUAUGUUUGAGGCCAUUUGAUACACUGGCUUGGUAUUACUGCUUGCGUUUUAGUAUGUCAAUCGCAGGACCCACUCUGCCAUUGUCCUGGACCCUACUGGUUCCCCUAAUGCGGAGCACCAUAUGAGUGAAAACCUGGUCAAGCACAUCAGAUACUGGUUUGAGCAACGAAACCCACAGAACCCGGCACAGAAUCUGUGUUGGACAAUGUUCCCCGCCAGGCGACAACAAUACCUCACACCAAGCAAAGCAGUGGUUAGUUAAACAAAACCAAAUCGUGGAUUGCUGAGCUAUCCUUCUGUGACAUCAUAUCAUGGAUUGCUGAGCUAUCCUUCUAACUGUGACAUCAUAUCAUGGAUUGCUGAGCUAUCCUUCUAACUGUGACAUCAUAUCAUGGAUUGCUGAGCUAUCCUUCUAACUGUGACAUCAUAUCAUGGAUUGCUGAGCUAUCCUUCUAACUGUGACAUCAUAUCAUGGAUUGCUGAGCUAUCCUAACUCUGACAUCAUAUCAUGGAUUGCUGAGCUAUCCUUCUAACUGUGACAUCAUAUCAUGGAUUGCUGAGCUUUCCUUCUAACUGUGACAUCAUAUCAUGGAAUCAAUGGCCUAAUUGACAUGUACUUUCACAGAGGGAGUGUUCCACAUGCUCCAGUUGGUACCACACCACCUGUACUGGUGUAUCAUCACCAUCAACACAGAGAUAAUCCUGCCUUACAAUGGAUGUGCCCACCCUGCCACCAUUGAAGGCCUGCACACCAAGGCUACUAUUGCGUCAAUACGGUGUCAAGAUGUUUCAAGGAUGGGGGUCCAACAACGCAGCAAGAGAGGCAAUCUGUGUGUUGGAGAUCUUCACCUACUUCUUCGAAGAGGGUGCUGUUCCCUGGCAACACCAUAGACUACACUAUGCACAACCAAAGGCCCUUUUAAGAGCCAUCCACACUGCACUAAGAGUAUUCUUCCAAGGCCCUCUUCAAAUAAUGAAUUAAAAUGCCUUUAUUUGUAUGGCAUGUUCAAUAGGAACAUGGCCGCAGCCGAAACGCUUCGCAUUUAAACAAAAAAACGUUGUUUCUAUUGAACAUGCCAUACAAAUAAAGCCAUUUUAAUUCAUUAUAUGAAGAGUGCCUUGGUCCUCCUUUUUGAUGACCAAUUUACCUAUUUUACCAUAGAGCUCCUUCUGUCUACCAAAAUGUACUAUUGUGUACCUUAGUAGCGCUUCCCUUCCUCCUCUUUCUAAGACUAUUCUUCUAUUUACUUAGCUAAUGUCAACUGCAGUUAUUCAAUUCCCAGUUUCUCUCCCUUUGAUUUCUACUUAUCAGGUGAGGGUGCUGUUUAAGAGUGUGAUGUCUGUACAAAAACAAACAGGCUAUUUAAGUCACACACAUUUAAAACAAUUAGACACCUUAUAACCCACACAUUCAUGUAUCAAUGUUUGAUGGAUUGUGUUGUGCAGUAAGCAAGCUCAGAUGUAUAACUGUGGCUCCUUUGACUUUAAACAGAAUAGGCAAGAGGAAACUUCAUUAUUUAUAUUUAUAUAACUACACUAUAUUGUUUAUCCUCGUGUGUCUAUGCAUGCUUUUCAGCAUAAAGUACUCUGCAGCCACGUAGUGUGGACAGCAGGUGAGGCCACAGAUUCCUGUUGAACAGUGUCUCUUCAACUAAACUAUAUUUUUAUUUUUGUCUACUUAGUAAAUAUUUUCUUAACUCUUCUUGAAUUGCACUGGUUAAGGGCUUGUAAGUAAACAUUUCACUGUAAAGUCUACACAUUGCAUAGUUACAAUGUGUAACCAUAGAUGUCCCAGGACCAGAAUUGGUAAACACUCUUGAACUUUUAUUCAUAAUACAUUUAUUAUAAUUGUAAUAUAAUGUAUUUAUAACACUUGAACUUUUUUCAAAGCAUUUCACAUUCUCUACUGGUUGAAAUAAAGUCUCUGAUUUCAUGAAAUACUA
Long non-coding RNA from Oncorhynchus nerka (sockeye salmon), 5956 nucleotides. RefSeq lists it as uncharacterized. The record is from RefSeq and is a predicted model, not a curated record. NCBI's taxonomy places the organism in Eukaryota, Metazoa, Chordata, Actinopteri, Salmoniformes, Salmonidae. The transcript has 3 exons.